UCCCCUAUGCAUGAAUAUGUAAGAUUACCUCUCCCCUAAAUCAUAGCAUGCAGAUAUUGGGAGUGGGUAGGGUGAGACAAGUUCAAUCCAAAGUAGGCAAUAAAACAAUUUAUUUAAGUUUUAUAUCUCUCCCCCUUAAUGGUAUUUCUCCCACUGAAUAUAUGUUGGGGAACGUUGCAUGGGAAACAAAAAGUUUCCUACACACACGCAAGGCCUAUCCUUGGUGAUGAUCAUCUACGAGAGGGGAGAGUGAAUCUACAUCUCCUUGUAGAUCGCUAAGCAGAAGCGUAUAUAACGCAGUUGAUGUAGUGGCACAUCUUCGCGAUCCAAAUCGCAGCUCGUACCAAGAUCUCAUCACGAUCCGUCCCGCAAUCUCAUCACGAGCCUACCCGAUCUAGCGCCGAACGGACGACACCUCUACGUUCAGCACACGUACGGCUCGAUGACGUCUCCUCCUUCUUGAUCCAGCAAGAGAGUAAGGAGAAGUAGAUGGGAUCUCAUCCAUCACAACGGCAUGGUGGAGAUGAUGGUGGAGCAGUGCCAGCAGUGCUUCGCCAAGCGCUGCCGGAACCGAUGUGAGGAGAAAAUGAAGUUAUGGGAGAGGUAGGGCCGCCACCGGG
This 620-nucleotide long non-coding RNA is filed under the name Hordeum vulgare. Its description in RNAcentral is "long non-coding RNA (HVUL_LNC001151)". The record is from RNAcentral. Lineage: Eukaryota; Viridiplantae; Streptophyta; Magnoliopsida; Poales; Poaceae.